This is a long non-coding RNA of Pseudopipra pipra, 251 nucleotides long. RefSeq lists it as uncharacterized. The record is from RefSeq and is a predicted model, not a curated record. The transcript is spliced from 3 exons. Lineage: Eukaryota; Metazoa; Chordata; Aves; Passeriformes; Pipridae.
UGGUUUUAUAGGUAGUGGAAAGUUGUUUGCAGAAGUUGCAGGCCACCGUUGGGCCUUCUGGCACUUAAGAAUGAGGCUCCUUUGUAUUCAGUGAGAAAAAAGAAAUUCAGCUGAACACACCCAGGAAAAAGCUCCACAGUGAGAUGAGUCCCUACAGAGACAGAGGCAACACUUUGGUCACCUUUGAUCACACUGAGCAGUGCUUGACCCUACAUGGAUUUACUUGGAAAUUGGAAUCUCCCCAACAGGGU